UGGUGGAUAUGCAAGUGGAUAAAGCAAUCUGACUGUAAAUCAGACGUCCAUGUGACUUCGUGGGUUCGAAUCCUACUCUGCCAA
Molecule: transfer RNA, 84 nt
Filed under: Caudoviricetes sp.
Lineage: Duplodnaviria; Heunggongvirae; Uroviricota; Caudoviricetes
Description: tRNA-Tyr
Rfam family: tRNA
About the family: Transfer RNA (tRNA) molecules are approximately 80 nucleotides in length. Their secondary structure includes four short double-helical elements and three loops (D, anti-codon, and T loops).
Source: RNAcentral